GUUGCUGGUGGUCCUGAAGACUGCUGCUUCAUUUACACCCGAGAUCUUUGAACAAAUGUUUAAUCCGCUCGUAUUACAUUGACCGACGACAGAUGCUCAAUGACUGCAGCCGUUCGACCACGAUGAAAAAUGCUACCAUCUGUGUGGAUCCAAAGCUUCCCUGGGUUGUGAGGGUCAUGAAAAGUUUGGACCAAGAGAAUUUUUAUGGACCAACAGAUCCAUCUCUAGGCUCAGCAGCCCUGUCCCCCCAUAAUGCUGAACCUGAACCAGCUUUUCUCCCAACUGAAGGAGGUG
Molecule: long non-coding RNA, 294 nt
Organism: Trematomus bernacchii (emerald rockcod)
Lineage: Eukaryota; Metazoa; Chordata; Actinopteri; Perciformes; Nototheniidae
Exons: 3
Source: RefSeq, a predicted model, not a curated record